Molecule: ribosomal RNA, 253 nt
Filed under: uncultured bacterium
Lineage: Bacteria
Description: partial 16S ribosomal RNA
Rfam family: Bacterial small subunit ribosomal RNA
Source: RNAcentral
UACGGAGGGGGCAAGCGUUAUUCGGAAUUAUUGGGCGUAAAGGGCGCGUAGGCGGCUUGGCAAGUGGAUGGUGAAAUCCCUCGGCUUAACCGAGGAACUGCCGUCCAAACUGCUUCGCUUGAGACCAGGAGAGGUGAGUGGAAUUCCCAGUGUAGCGGUGAAAUGCGUAGAUAUUGGGAGGAACACCAGUGGCGAAGGCGGCUCACUGGACUGGUACUGACGCUGAGGCGCGAAAGCGUGGGGAGCAAACGGG